AAAGUUGCAUAUGCCACAGCAAUGGACUGGUUUAUGGCAGUGUGCUAUGCCUUU
This is a non-coding RNA of Xenopus laevis (African clawed frog), 54 nucleotides long. The record is from Rfam. Lineage: Eukaryota; Metazoa; Chordata; Amphibia; Anura; Pipidae.